This 446-nucleotide ribosomal RNA is filed under the name uncultured bacterium. RNAcentral describes it as "partial 16S ribosomal RNA". It matches the Rfam family "Bacterial small subunit ribosomal RNA", at positions 338 to 795 of the family's 1533-position model. The record is from RNAcentral.
CCUACGGGUGGCAGCAGUCGAGAAUCAUUCACAAUGGGGGAAACCCUGAUGGUGCGACGCCGCGUGGGGGAAUGAAGGUCUUCGGAUUGUAAACCCCUGUCAUGUGGGAGCAAAUUAAAAAGAUAGUACCACAAGAGGAAGAGACGGCUAACUCUGUGCCAGCAGCCGCGGUAAUACAGAGGUCUCAAGCGUUGUUCGGAAUCACUGGGCGUAAAGCGUGCGUAGGCUGUUUCGUAAGUCGUGUGUGAAAGGCGCGGGCUCAACCCGCGGACGGCACAUGAUACUGCGAGACUAGAGUAAGGGAGGGGGAACCGGAAGUCUCGGUGUAGCAGUGAAAUGCGUAGAUAGCGAGAGGAACACUCGUGGCGAAGGCGGGUUCCUGGACAUUAACUGACGCUGAGGCACGAAGGCCAGGGGAGCGAAAGGGAUUAGAUACCCCGGUAGUC